UCGGUUAAUGGGAGCCACACGACCCUCUGUGUGUGGACUCCCAUUCGGUACUUUUAUUUGUUUCACGAACAGUGUGUAAAGUCACUGUUCGUGAAACUACCAUAUGAAUGCUAGAGGCUUUCGGCCGUUAGCAUACGAAUACUCUCUAUUGCAAAAAUACACAAAUACCUCCAUACACACAAUAAAAGCAGCUUUUACAGACAACCUUCAGAUGUUACACAGUAGUACCUAAAGUGGCUAGGUUUGCCACAGGUCUGUAAAUGUUACUACUAGACAGCUGGUAGUACCCCAGAAAUAUCGACAGGAACUCCUUAGGAUCGCUCAUGACAUUCCGUUGUCUGGGCAUCUGGGUAUGACCCGAACUAGAUACCGACUUACCCAUGCAUUUUUCUGUGAGGCAAUACUGCCAGACGUGUGACAUCUGUCAGAGAGUAGGCAAAAGGUGUGACCGACACAAGGCCAAAUUAUGCCCGCUACCCAUCAUAGAAGAGCCGUUUAGUAGGGUGGCCGUAGACAUAGUAGGACCCUUACCCAAACCCAGUCCCUCUGGCAAAAUACCCCGAGGCAGUAGCCCUCUCUAAUAUCCACGCCGAGACGGUGGUCGAAGCCUUAAUGAAAGCCUUCUCCCGGGUGGGGUUCCCCCAGGAGAUAAUCUCAGAUAGGUGUACGCAAAUCACGGCCGAAGUAACCCACCAACUAUGGAAAAUAUGUGGCAUUAAGCCUAUUGUUAAUUCUGCUUACCAUCCACAGUGUAAUGGGUUAUGUGAAAGGUUCAAUGGAACUUUAAAGCAGAUGCUCCGUACAUUUGGAGAGGCCCAUAAGGACUGGGAGUGAUUCUUACCCCAUCUGCUGUUCGCCUACAGAGAGGUACCUCAAGAGUCCACCGGGUUUUCCCCCUUUGAAUUACUGUUUGGGAGAAGGGUGAGAGGACUCCUAGAGUUAAUUAGAGAACAUUGGGAAGGGGAAAGCAGUGCAGAUACCCAUUGUACCAUUUGUGCUGGAGUUCAGGGACCGCCUGGAGGCACUAACCCACACCGUACGGGUAAACCACCAAGCGGCUCAACAACGGCUGCGCCGAUGGUAUGAUAGGGGAGCCAGGGAUUGCAGCUUUCAAGUGGGACAAAAAGUUUUGAUUUUAAAACCUGUCCGCAAUGACAAGCUGCAGGCCGCCAGGCAAGGCCCCUACAGGGUGGUGGAACAGAGAUGUGACACCACCUAUGUAAUUGGCCCCUGCUCGGGUAGGGAAGAGACGUAUGCUCCACGUGAAUAUGCUCAAACCCUACCAUGAGAGUGGAUGUGGCAGCUAUAUGUGCAUCAGCCUCUGAGGAUCAGGAGAAUCUUCCGCUACCCGAUUUAUUAGAGCGAGAAGAUAAGGCAGAGACCUCUACAGGUGUUCAGCUGGGGGAGCGGCUAAGUCUUCAUGAGCGUGCCCAGGUACAGGAGUUAAUUGCGACUAAGGGAGCCACUUUCUCCAAUUUACCAGGGUACACCCUCACCGGGUAGAGACCCCAUUAGAGCUACCUAUGCGGCAGACCCCAUAUCGUAUCCUGGAAGCAGUCAGGGAACAUAUGAGAAAGGAAAUUGAGGAGAUGUUGCAGCUAGGGGUUAUUGAACAUUCCGAUAGCCACUGGGCAUCGCCGGUAGUGCUAGUUCCCAAGAAUGAUGGCACAAAACAGUUCUGUGUUGACUACCAGAGGCUAAAUGACAAGAGAGUGUCUGAUGCCUACCCGAUUCACCGGAUAGACGAGCUGCUAGAUAAGAUGGCACGAGGCCAGUACUUCACUAUGAUAGACUUAUGCAAAGGGUACUGGCAGAUUCCUUUAGCCGAGGUUGCCAUUCAGGAUGAAAAAUGCUCCGGCUACUUUUCAAAGGAUGGUAGAUCGGCUACUGGAUGGGUUCCAGGAGUAUGCAUGUGCAUACCUGGACGAUAUCGCCAUAUAUUGCCAGACGUGGUCAGACCACCUGCGACAUAUUGUAGCUGUCAUUGACCGUAUUGGAGAG
RNAcentral lists this long non-coding RNA (2001 nucleotides) under Pelobates cultripes (western spadefoot toad). Lineage: Eukaryota; Metazoa; Chordata; Amphibia; Anura; Pelobatidae. The record is from RNAcentral.